CCAUGACAAAUGUUGUUGAAUGAUAAUGGGAAUAAAUAUGGAACACAUGAAGAAAAAGGGGUGAAAAGGCAUGGGAAGCCAAUAAACCAGCUGAAAU
This is a long non-coding RNA of Etheostoma cragini (Arkansas darter), 97 nucleotides long. RefSeq lists it as uncharacterized. The transcript has 3 exons. The record is from RefSeq and is a predicted model, not a curated record. NCBI's taxonomy places the organism in Eukaryota, Metazoa, Chordata, Actinopteri, Perciformes, Percidae.